ACUAAAAACCUAACCCAAAGUCAAUUAAUACUAAUUCAAAUUUUCUUUUUAUAAAUUAAAACAUUCUACAGUUACAGUAAAGGCGAUUGAAAUAUCUUUUGGAGUUAUACUACUAGUACCGCAAGGGAACGAUGAAAUAAAAGUGAAAUAAUUAUCAAGUCUAAAGUAGUAGAGAUUCAACCUCGUACCUUUUGCAUCAUGAUUUAACUAGUCCCAUCAAGCAAAAUGUAUUAAAGUUUGCCACCCCGAAACUAAGUGAGCUACUUCAGGGCAGCUUUAAGAGCCAACCCGUCUCUGUUGCAAAAGAGUGGGAAGACCCUCAAGUAGAGGUGAUAGACCUAACGAACUUAGUGAUAGCUGGUUACUUAAGAAAAGGAUUUUAGUCCCACCCAACUUUUAUUUAAUAUAUCAAAAUGUAAACAAAUCUUUGGAGUAAUUCAAAUAAGGUACAGCCUAUUUGAAUCAGGAUACAACCUCUACAACUGGGUAACUUAACACACAUGUAAUAAAGUGGGCCCAAAAGCAGCCAUCUUUAAAAAAGCGUCAAAGCUUAUUUAUACACUUACUAAAUUCCAAUAAUUAUCAAAAACCCUUAACUUGUAUUAAGUAACUCUAUAAAACUAUAGAAUAUAUUAUGUUAAAACUAGUAACAAGAACAAGACCUUCUCUAUAAUACAAGUGUAAAUCAGAUAGGACAAACCACUGAUUUUUAACAUCUUAUGACUAAAGUAAUAACUAAGCAAGAAAAUCUUACCACAUACAAUGUUAAUCUAACACAAGAGCAUUUCCAGACAGAUUAAAAGGAAAAGAAGGAACUCGGCAAAUAUUAACCUCGCCUGUUUACCAAAAACAUCGCCUCCUGAUAACCAUAUAGGAGGUCCAGCCUGCCCAGUGACUCUGUUUAACGGCCGCGGUAUCCUAACCGUGCGAAGGUAGCGUAAUCACUUGUUCUUUAAAUAAGGACUAGUAUGAACGGCACCACGAGGGUUAUACUGUCUCCUUUUCUUAAUCAGUGAAACUAAUCUUCCCGUGAAGAAGCGGGAAUAAAAAUAUAAGACGAGAAGACCCUAUGGAGCUUUAAACUUAAAACAAUUAUCUUUUUUAUAUAAACCUCAAAGGUAACCAAAUUAACUUAAAUAAUAUGUCUAUUAGUUUUCGGUUGGGGUGACCGCGGAGUAAAAUAUAUCCUCCGCAUUGAAUUUAGUAUCUUCCUAAGCAAAAAACUACAAUUUUAUGCAUCAAAAAAUUGACAUUAUUGACCCAAUACUUUGAUCAACGAACUAAGUUACCCUAGGGAUAACAGCGCAAUCCAUCUUAAGAGCUCAUAUCGACAGAUGGGUUUACGACCUCGAUGUUGGAUCAGGAUAUCCCAGUGGUGCAGCCGCUACUAAAGGUUCGUUUGUUCAACGAUUAAAAUCCU
This 1420-nucleotide ribosomal RNA is filed under the name Callimedusa baltea (purple-sided leaf frog). RNAcentral's name for it is "partial 16S ribosomal RNA". It matches the Rfam family "Bacterial large subunit ribosomal RNA", at positions 393 to 2597 of the family's 2925-position model. Lineage: Eukaryota; Metazoa; Chordata; Amphibia; Anura; Hylidae. The record is from RNAcentral.